UACGGGGGGGGCAAGCGUUGUUCGGAUUUACUGGGCGUAAAGGGCGCGUAGGCGGCUUAACAAGUCACUUGUGAAAUCUCCGGGCUUAACUCGGAACGGCCAAGUGAAACUGUCAAGCUAGAGUGCGGAAGGGGCAAUCGGAAUUCUUGGUGUAGCGGUGAAAUGCGUAGAUAUCGAGAGGAACACCUGCGGCGAAGGCGGGUUGCUGGGCUGACACUGACGCUGAUGCGCGAAAGCCAGGGGAGCGAACGGG
Molecule: ribosomal RNA, 253 nt
Filed under: uncultured prokaryote
Description: partial 16S ribosomal RNA
Rfam family: Bacterial small subunit ribosomal RNA
Source: RNAcentral